Molecule: ribosomal RNA, 397 nt
Filed under: uncultured bacterium
Lineage: Bacteria
Description: partial 16S ribosomal RNA
Rfam family: Bacterial small subunit ribosomal RNA
Source: RNAcentral
AUACGUAGGGGGCGAGCGUUGUCCGGAAUGAUUGGGCGUAAAGGGCGCGUAGGCGGCCCGGUAAGUCUGGAGUGAAAGUCCUGUUUUUAAGAUGGGAAUUGCUUUGGAUACUGUCGGGCUUGAGUGCAGGAGAGGUAAGAGGAAUUCCCAGUGUAGCGGUGAAAUGCGUAGAGAUUGGGAGGGACACCAGUGGCGAAGGCGACUUACUGGACUGUAACUGACGCUGAGGCGCGAAAGUGUGGGGAGCAAACAGGAUUAGAUACCCUGGUAGUCCACACUGUAAACGAUGAAUGCUAGGUGUAGGGGGUAUCGACCCCUUCUGUGCCGCAGUCAACACAAUAAGCAUUCCGCCUGGGGAGUACGGCCGCAAGGUUGAAACUCAAAGGAAUUGGCGGGG